Molecule: ribosomal RNA, 1016 nt
Filed under: Fictibacillus sp. L7-52
Lineage: Bacteria; Bacillati; Bacillota; Bacilli; Caryophanales; Fictibacillaceae
Description: bacterial SSU rRNA
Rfam family: Bacterial small subunit ribosomal RNA
Source: RNAcentral
GCAGUCGAGCGAAUGAUGAGGAGCUUGCUCCUCUGAUUUAGCGGCGGACGGGUGAGUAACACGUGGGUAAUCUGCCUGUAAGACGGGGAUAACUCCGGGAAACCGGGGCUAAUACCGGAUAAUAAGAGAAGAAGCAUUUCUUCUUUUUGAAAGUCGGUUUCGGCUGACACUUACAGAUGAGCCCGCGGCGCAUUAGCUAGUUGGUGAGGUAACGGCUCACCAAGGCGACGAUGCGUAGCCGACCUGAGAGGGUGAUCGGCCACACUGGGACUGAGACACGGCCCAGACUCCUACGGGAGGCAGCAGUAGGGAAUCUUCGGCAAUGGGCGAAAGCCUGACCGAGCAACGCCGCGUGAGCGAUGAAGGCCUUCGGGUCGUAAAGCUCUGUUGUUAGAGAAGAACAAGUACGAGAGUAACUGCUCGUACCUUGACGGUACCUAACCAGAAAGCCACGGCUAACUACGUGCCAGCAGCCGCGGUAAUACGUAGGUGGCAAGCGUUAUCCGGAAUUAUUGGGCGUAAAGCGCGCGCAGGCGGUCUCUUAAGUCUGAUGUGAAAGCCCACGGCUCAACCGUGGAGGGUCAUUGGAAACUGGGAGACUUGAGUGCAGGAGAGAAAAGUGGAAUUCCACGUGUAGCGGUGAAAUGCGUAGAGAUGUGGAGGAACACCAGUGGCGAAGGCGGCUUUUUGGCCUGUAACUGACGCUGAGGCGCGAAAGCGUGGGGAGCAAACAGGAUUAGAUACCCUGGUAGUCCACGCCGUAAACGAUGAGUGCUAGGUGUUUGGGGGGGUUCCACCCUCAGUGCUGAAGUUAACACAUUAAGCACUCCGCCUGGGGAGUACGACCGCAAGGUUGAAACUCAAAGGAAUUGACGGGGGCCCGCACAAGCAGUGGAGCAUGUGGUUUAAUUCGAAGCAACGCGAAGAACCUUACCAGGUCUUGACAUCCUUUGACCACUCUAGAGAUAGAGCUUUCCCCUUCGGGGGACAAAGUGACAGGUGGUGCAUGGUUGUCG